Molecule: long non-coding RNA, 1115 nt
Filed under: Anser brachyrhynchus (Pink-footed goose)
Lineage: Eukaryota; Metazoa; Chordata; Aves; Anseriformes; Anatidae
Description: lncRNA (ENSABRG00000000412.1)
Source: RNAcentral
UUUUUCGGCACCCUCGAGCCAUCGCAGGGCUCCUCGUGUGCCCGGUUAGCGAGGGCACAUGGCGUUCCCAAACCCGCCUGGCCCCGGAGCCCGCCAGCCCGCGGGAUUUGGGGUCGGAGGAGGACCCGGGGGUGCUCGGUGUGGGGCCGGGGGGGGGCCAAGCGAGCUCUGCACCCGGGUUCCCAGCCCCUGAGCGGCGCGGCCGCGUCCCCUGGACAUGCAAUACCUGCUGCUAUUCUGGGGCCGCACGCCGAGCCAAGAUGGUUUUGCAAUGGGCUCCCACGGCCGGGCCCCGCUGCCCAAGCCCCCCCCUGCCCCCCGUUGCUGCAGCUGGGCUCUGCCGGCCCCCAGGGUGCCGCCGGCCACCCUGUGUGUGUCCCCCCCCCGCCCCAGUGUCACCCCACAGAGCUGGGGGGGGCCUGCGGGUGAGCCCCCCGCCCUGGGGCCCGUUGGAUGCCCUCCAGCAGGGGUUGAGCAAGCAGGGGGGCGGCGUGGGGGCCGGGGGGGGCCCCGUAACCCUACACCCCCCCUGGGCAGCCCGAAGGUGCGGCGCUGAGCCAGCCAACGGCUCCGGCACAGCACCCGGAGCCCCUCGGCCGUCCCCGACCCGCGGGGGCUGCGUGGCUCCCAGCCCGUGGGGGGGCUUCUCCGGGGGACAACGGGGCGCGGGGGGGUCCCCCACGGUUAGGGCCCGUCGCCGGGGUCGGGGUCGAUGCGGCCACGCCGCCCCCAGCCCCGUGCGCCCCGAAUCGGCGUGUCUGUCCCACACAGCACCCCGCGUCCCGCCCCCCCCAGCACCCACGCUGCUGCACGGCACCCAAGGGUGCUGCCAGCACCGCUGCUGUCACCAGGGGGCUGCUCGGUGCCACGCCGUGCCCUGCACCCCCGGGGACGGCACAGGGUCCCCUCCGUGUCCCUCGGGGGGGGGCUCCAAAGCACCCCACAGUCCCCACCCAGUGCCCCCCCCCACCCAGUGUCCCCCCCUCCCCGGUGUCCCCCUCCCUCGGUGUCCCCCCCUCCCCAGUGUCCCCCUCCUGGUGCCCAGUCCCUCCCAGUCCCUCCCAGUCCCCUCACCAGCAGCCAGCAGCAACAGGGGCAGGAGGCGCUCCAUGGCA